GAUGAACGCUGGCGGCGUGCCUAAUACAUGCAAGUCGAGCGAACGGACGAGAAGCUUGCUUUUCUGAUGUUAGCGGCGGACGGGUGAGUAACACGUGGAUAACCUACCUAUAAGACUGGGAUAACUUCGGGAAACCGGAGCUAAUACCGGAUAAUAUUUUGAACCGCAUGGUUCAAAAGUGAAAGACGGUCUUGCUGUCACUUAUAGAUGGAUCCGCGCUGCAUUAGCUAGUUGGUAAGGUAACGGCUUACCAAGGCAACGAUGCAUAGCCGACCUGAGAGGGUGAUCGGCCACACUGGAACUGAGACACGGUCCAGACUCCUACGGGAGGCAGCAGUAGGGAAUCUUCCGCAAUGGGCGAAAGUCUGACGGAGCAACGUCGCGUGAGUGAUGAAGGUCUUCGGAUCGUAAAACUCUGUUAUUAGGGAAGAACAUAUGUGUAAGUAACUGUGCACAUCUUGACGGUACCUAAUCAGAAAGCCACGGCUAACUACGUG
RNAcentral lists this ribosomal RNA (497 nucleotides) under uncultured bacterium. RNAcentral describes it as "partial 16S ribosomal RNA". It matches the Rfam family "Bacterial small subunit ribosomal RNA", at positions 28 to 507 of the family's 1533-position model. The record is from RNAcentral.